RNAcentral lists this ribosomal RNA (402 nucleotides) under uncultured bacterium. Its description in RNAcentral is "bacterial SSU rRNA". It matches the Rfam family "Bacterial small subunit ribosomal RNA", at positions 355 to 774 of the family's 1533-position model. The record is from RNAcentral.
UGGGGAAUAUUGGACAAUGGGCGAAAGCCUGAUCCAGCCAUGCCGCGUGAGUGAUGAAGGCCCUAGGGUUGUAAAGCUCUUUUGUGCGGGAAGAUAAUGACGGUACCGCAAGAAUAAGCCCCGGCUAACUUCGUGCCAGCAGCCGCGAUAAUACGAAGGGGGCUAGCGUUGCUCGGAAUCACUGGGCGUAAAGGGUGCGUAGGCGGGUUUCUAAGUCAGAGGUGAAAGCCUGGAGCUCAACUCCAGAACUGCCUUUGAUACUGGAAGUCUUGAGUUCGGGAGAGGUGAGUGGAACUGCGAGUGUAGAGGUGAAAUUCGUAGAUAUUCGCAAGAACACCAGUGGCGGAGGCGGCUCACUGGCCCGAUACUGACGCUGAGGCACGAAAGCGUGGGGAGCAAACA